GACAGAGGUGCCGAGCGUUAGGCGGAAUCACUGGGCUUAAAGCGUGUGUAGGCGGGCCGUUAAGUGCCCCGUGAAAUCCCCCGGCUCAACCGGGGAACUGCGGGGCAUACUGGCGGCCUUGAGCCACUUAAGGGCAGACGGAACAAGCGGUGGAGCGGUGAAAUGCGUAGAUAUCGCUUGGAACGCCGACGGCGAAAGCAGUCUGCUGGGGGUGUGCUGACGCUGAGACACGAAAGCCAGGGGAGCGAACGGGAUUAGAUACCCCGGUAGUCCUGGCCGUAAACGAUGUCGACUAGGUCGCGGGCGCCUCUGACGGUGCUCGCGGCCGAAGCAAAAGUGCUAAGUCGACCGCCUGGGAAGUACGGUCGCAAGGCUAAA
RNAcentral lists this ribosomal RNA (378 nucleotides) under uncultured bacterium. RNAcentral describes it as "bacterial SSU rRNA". It matches the Rfam family "Bacterial small subunit ribosomal RNA", at positions 524 to 898 of the family's 1533-position model. The record is from RNAcentral.